UACGUACUGGGCGAACGUUAUUCGGAAUCACUGGGCUUAAAGGGUGCGUAGGCGGCUUUCCAGGUCCGGUGUGAAAUCUUACGGCUCAACCGUAAAAUUGCGCUGGAAACCGGAAGGCUUGAGUGUGCUAGGGGUGUGUGGAACUUCCAGUGGAGCGGUGAAAUGUGUUGAUAUUGGAAGGAACGCCGGUGGCGAAAGCGACACACUGGGGCAUAACUGACGCUGAGGCACGAAAGCUAGGGUAGCGAACGGG
Molecule: ribosomal RNA, 253 nt
Filed under: uncultured bacterium
Lineage: Bacteria
Description: partial 16S ribosomal RNA
Rfam family: Bacterial small subunit ribosomal RNA
Source: RNAcentral